Ceratina calcarata is the source of this 118-nucleotide long non-coding RNA. RefSeq lists it as uncharacterized. The record is from RefSeq and is a predicted model, not a curated record. The transcript has 2 exons. Lineage: Eukaryota; Metazoa; Arthropoda; Insecta; Hymenoptera; Apidae.
AUACGUACCUCCAUGGUGUAAUACAGAUGAAUCUUGUGAAAAACAUGAAGGGGAGACUGCAAAGAGUCAAGAACCUGUUAAUCCAAAUGAAACUUACGCUUACGCAGAUAACAAAUUG